Non-coding RNA from Gossypium hirsutum (cotton), 144 nucleotides. The record is from Rfam. Lineage: Eukaryota; Viridiplantae; Streptophyta; Magnoliopsida; Malvales; Malvaceae.
UAUUAAGAAUUCCAUCCAUUUCUAUUGUUUAAAACUGGCGUGACUAGUAGAAUAAUCAAACAAUUAUACGUGGCGUAUCACGUGUACCUCAUGCUAACGUAUAGGGACCAGUUUUUAACAGUGAAAAUGAUAGAAGAAUUAGUU